This 283-nucleotide long non-coding RNA is filed under the name Nicotiana benthamiana. Its description in RNAcentral is "long non-coding RNA (NBEN_LNC035400)". The record is from RNAcentral. Lineage: Eukaryota; Viridiplantae; Streptophyta; Magnoliopsida; Solanales; Solanaceae.
AAAAAGUUAACCCUGAAAGAUAUUUAUGAAAAAUUAGAUAAAAUGGAAAAAAGAGUUAAAAAAUUAGAAAAACAUGUAUUUAAAAAGAAAAAACAAACAAUAAAUUUUGACUCUGAAGUAUCUAAAAAUAGAUUAGAUUCAGAUACAACAACAUAUAUAAGCUCAGAAGAAGAAAAAGAUGAUAAGAAAAUAGUAGUAGAAGUAAUAGAUAAAAUAGAAAAUAAUUCAGAUAUUAAUAUGGACGAAGAUAGCAAUUCAGAUACCUAUACUGACUGAUAAAGAA